UACUUUGAGCUAACUUAGAUAAUACCUUGCUUGACUUCAGUAUCAUUUGAAGUUGGUCACACUGUGCUUCAUUUUUCAAAUACUUUCUUCACUGGAUGCCAUAGCAUCCUAGUUUUCCUCUUACCCCCGUUGAUUCUUGUAUAUAUAUUAGUUGUCAAUGGAUAUUUCAUUUAUUUAUAUGUGGUGCUGAGGAUUAAACCCAGGCAAGUGCUCUACCACUGAGCUACUACUCCACACCCCACCGCUCUGCCCCUGUUGAUUCUUAAUUCCUAAAUGUUGAAAUAUCCAGAGCUUAGGCUUUGUUACCUUUUCUUUAACUGCACUUAGUACUUAAGCUCAUCACACAGUUUUUAACACCCUGUGUGUGUUCUCUCCAAUAUUAACCUCUUCUGGGCUCCAAAUGUAAAUAAAUCAGCCUCCUACUUGACAUCUGUGUCAUAUAUGUAAUAAUUCAAUUUGAGGGAUCAAAGCAGGACUCUUGUCUUUUUACCCUCAAACUUGUAUCUCUUCCAUUCUUUUCUGUUUAAUAAAUGUUACCCAGGAGUCAAGUUUUAGUUCCUUUCUCAUCCAUUUUAUAUCCAUCAAUAAUUCCUGAUGAGUCUACCUGAUUCUAUCUGCUUACCACAUUUCCUGCUGCUAUGGCUAAGCAAUCAGCCAUCAUCUCACCUGAACUAUUACAGUAGCCUCCUCUUGGUCUCCCUGCCCCAUUCAUGCUCCCCUUCAAUCUUCAACAUAUAGUGUAUUUUUUUUAAUUAGUUGCACAUAAUAGUAGAAUUCAUCUCACUCUGGAUUUAUAUAUUUGUUAAUGGCUAUGUAACUAACCAUCAUUGAAUGCUUACAGCGUCCUAGACACUGUUUUAAGUGUUUUUCAAGUGUUAUUUUAUUUCAGAACUAUCUGAGACAGAUACUAAUAUUAUCCCCAUGGAGAAACAGGCUUGGAACAAUUCAGUAACUUUCCCAGCAUGAUGAAGAAAGUGACAGAGCAGGUCACACCCAGGCAGAAUGGGUCCAGAGUACUCCCCUCACAUCCUGCAGGUGGCUUGACUUACUUUUGGUCUCAAAACAGACUUAGUUCAUUCCACAAUGAAUGGGGGAUGCUCAUCUCUUUGUCCCCAUAUCUCUAACAGUGUCUAGGACAGCACAGAGGCUUAUUGAAUAUUCAUUGAAUGAAUCUGUUUUCACAAGUGAGCGGGUUAGGAAAAGCUUGCUUAAAGAAGUGGCUUUGGACUGAUCUUAAAGGGAAAGAAAAUAAAGUGACAGAACCACAUGAACAAAAGUUCAGAGGGCAGGUUGUCUAGCCGGGCUGGCACUUAAGUCACUCAUAGGAGAAGGGGGAAUUUGAUAGAAAAGAUUGAUUCUAACAAGAUUAUAGAAAACCUUGACUAGCAGGUUAGGGAGAUGAAAUCUUAUUCAAUAUAUAGGAAGAGCUGCUGAACAUUCAUAGUAGUUAUAUCAGAGCAAUCAUUCAGGGUGCCAAGUGGUGGCAGUGUAUGGGGAGGUUUGGAACAAGCUUAGUCUAGGAGACAAUUGAGAGAAAGACCCUGUAAUUGACAAUCCAGUGGUAGCAUAGCAGCAGAAUGCUUUUUAAAAAAAAAAAAAACUAGAACUUAACUCAAACAUUCAGGAAAAUGGCAAAGAGAAGCUUCUCAGGAGCAGGACAGCCUGGUCAAAAGUUGGUCUGCCAGACCCCCUUGCCUGCUAUUAC
RNAcentral lists this long non-coding RNA (1705 nucleotides) under Marmota monax (woodchuck). Lineage: Eukaryota; Metazoa; Chordata; Mammalia; Rodentia; Sciuridae. The record is from RNAcentral.